AUUCGUCUGUUUUAUUCCCAGCAUCCCUUAAAGUGCGUGAAGGAACUUCGUUCGUUUCUGGGGCUUAACAUCACAGACGCAUUCUGCGAGGCUGUGGUCGAGGCCUGUUCUUUUGAUAAGUUGAGGAUGAAAGAAAGAACGGGCAUGAAAGAUGGUGCUGUCGUGAACAUCUGGAAGGAAGGUUCUGGAGGGACAUUCUAUAGAAAAGGAGAAGUUGGAGACUGGAAAAAAUGGUUCACUGUGGCAGAGAGCGAAAAUUUUGCCAUCACCUGGAAUGAGAAGAUGAACGGUUCGGGAAUCGAAUUUUCAUAUUCAGUACCGUAAUUAACCUUGAACUGUGAUUGCACGCGAUGUGCACCUUUAGUGAGUCCGCCAAAAUAUACCUCAUGUACGCACUGCCUUCAUUUGUUUGAAACAACAGUAAACUGCGGUUACAUUGAAAUUAAGUUCGAUAUAACAGUACUUCGUUAUUCGCAUUUCGACUGAAAUAUGUGGAUGGGAUGAAAAAAAACCAAUUCGUUAUAUCCGUCAGUUUGCUAUAAGCAUUUUCGUUUUAUGUUUAAUGUACCCUCUGUAUUUUUCAAAUCAAAGUUUGCAAAUAACAUGUGUCCUGUGUUCGUCAUCUCAGAACACAUUAACAAAAUUACCUGGUAGCUUGAAUAAAGCACAUCAGUUCACAUUACAGUUGGAACACUUA
Long non-coding RNA from Haliotis rubra (blacklip abalone), 697 nucleotides. RefSeq lists it as uncharacterized. The transcript is spliced from 2 exons. The record is from RefSeq and is a predicted model, not a curated record. NCBI's taxonomy places the organism in Eukaryota, Metazoa, Mollusca, Gastropoda, Lepetellida, Haliotidae.